AGUGAACGCUGGCGGUAGGCCUAACACAUGCAAGUCGAACGGCAGCACAGGAGAGCUUGCUCUCUGGGUGGCGAGUGGCGGACGGGUGAGGAAUACAUCGGAAUCUACUCUGUCGUGGGGGAUAACGUAGGGAAACUUACGCUAAUACCGCAUACGACCUACGGGUGAAAGCAGGGGAUCUUCGGACCUUGCGCGAUUGAAUGAGCCGAUGUCGGAUUAGCUAGUUGGCGGGGUAAAGGCCCACCAAGGCGACGAUCCGUAGCUGGUCUGAGAGGAUGAUCAGCCACACUGGAAAUGGGACACGGUCCAGACUCCUACGGGAGGCAGCAGUGGGGAAUAUUGGACAAUGGGCGCAAGCCUGAUCCAGCCAUACCGCGUGGGUGAAGAAGGCCUUCGGGUUGUAAAGCCCUUUUGUUGGGAAAGAAAUCCAGCUGGCUAAUACCCGGUUGGGAUGACGGUACCCAAAGAAUAAGCACCGGCUAACUUCGUGCCAGCAGCCGCCGCCG
RNAcentral lists this ribosomal RNA (506 nucleotides) under uncultured bacterium. RNAcentral's name for it is "partial 16S ribosomal RNA". It matches the Rfam family "Bacterial small subunit ribosomal RNA", at positions 29 to 523 of the family's 1533-position model. The record is from RNAcentral.